RNAcentral lists this ribosomal RNA (253 nucleotides) under uncultured bacterium. Its description in RNAcentral is "partial 16S ribosomal RNA". It matches the Rfam family "Bacterial small subunit ribosomal RNA", at positions 524 to 776 of the family's 1533-position model. The record is from RNAcentral.
UACGAAGGUCCCAAGCGUUAUCCGGAUUUAUUGGGUUUAAAGGGUGCGUAGGCGGGCUAUUAAGUCAGUGGUGAAAGCCCCAAGCUUAACUUGGGAACUGCCAUUGAUACUGAUGGUCUUGAGUACAUUUGAGGUGGGCGGAAUGUGUCAUGUAGCGGUGAAAUGCUUAGGUAUGACACAGAACACCGAUUGCGAAGGCAGCUCACUAAACUGUAACUGACGCUGAGGCACGAAAGCGUGGGGAGCAAACAGG